AGGAUAAACGCUGGCGGCGUGCCUAAUACAUGCAAGUCGAGCGGCAGCGCGGUCUUCGGACUGGCGGCGAGCGGCGGACGGCUGAGUAACACGUAGGAACGUACCCCAAAGUGAGGGAUAAGCACCAGAAAUGGUGUCUAAUACCGCAUGUGCUCUAAGGAGUAAAGCUUCGGCGCUUUGGGAACGGCCUACGCAUGAUUAGCUUGUUGGUGAGGUAAUGGCUCACCAAGGCGACGAUCAUUAGCUGGUCUGAGAGGAUGAUCAGCCAGACUGGGACUGAGAACGGCCCAGACUCCUACGGGAGGCCGCAGUAGGGAAUUUUCCACAAUGGGCGAAAGCCUGAUGGAGCAACGCCGCGUGCAGGAUGAAGGCCUUAGGGUUGUAAACUGCUUUUAUGUGUGACGAAUAUGACGGUAGCAUAUGAAUAAGGAUCGGCUAACUCCGUGCCAGCAGCCGC
RNAcentral lists this ribosomal RNA (457 nucleotides) under uncultured bacterium. RNAcentral describes it as "SSU rRNA". It matches the Rfam family "Bacterial small subunit ribosomal RNA", at positions 26 to 518 of the family's 1533-position model. The record is from RNAcentral.